GAUGAAGAACGUAGCGAAAUGCGAUACUUGGUGUGAAUUGCAGAAUCCCGUGAACCAUCGAGUUUUUGAACGCAAGUUGCGCCCGAAGCCGUUAGGCCGAGGGCACGCCUGCCUGGGUGUCACACAUCGUUGCCCCAAUGCCAAUCGCCUCACUUUGUAGGUAUUUGCUUGGGGUGAAUGUUGGCCUCCCGUGAGCUUUGUCUCACGGUUGGUUGAAAAUCGAGUGCAUGGUGUCGGGUGUACCAUGAUGGAUGGUGGUUGAGUGAUGCUCGAGGCCAAUCAUGGGUAACUCCACCAGAAUUGUGCUCGGUGACCCACAUCAAGUCAGGCGGGGCUACCCGCUGAGUUUAAGCAUAUCAAUAAGCGGAGGA
RNAcentral lists this unclassified non-coding RNA (371 nucleotides) under soil metagenome. Its description in RNAcentral is "partial contains 5.8S ribosomal RNA, internal transcribed spacer 2, and large subunit ribosomal RNA". The stretch from base 1 to 122 matches the Rfam family "5.8S ribosomal RNA", at positions 35 to 154 of the family's 154-position model. The record is from RNAcentral.